This 125-nucleotide small RNA is filed under the name Marmota monax (woodchuck). The record is from RNAcentral. Lineage: Eukaryota; Metazoa; Chordata; Mammalia; Rodentia; Sciuridae.
GCCAGGUGCCAUGGCUCAUGCCUGUAAUCCCAGCAGCUCUGGAGGCUGAGACAGGAGGAUCAUGAGUUCAAAGCCAGCCUCAGCAAAAGCAAGGCACUAAGCAACUCAGUGAGAACCUGUCUCUA